Etheostoma cragini (Arkansas darter) is the source of this 139-nucleotide long non-coding RNA. RefSeq lists it as uncharacterized. The record is from RefSeq and is a predicted model, not a curated record. Lineage: Eukaryota; Metazoa; Chordata; Actinopteri; Perciformes; Percidae. The transcript has 4 exons.
GAAAGUAUGUUGUUACAUGUCACUGAGCAUUUUUAAGGGAGUAUAUGGAAAUCCUGGAGCUUUCUUAGUGGGUAUACCAGGUAUACCUGCGUAUCACGUGGACUACAUCACUCUCUGCUAGAGAGCGGGUAAAGUAAAG